CUUUUCAAGAGUGGGUGUGGGUGUGGGUGUUGAGACAUUACACAGGCUUAGAGAAGAAGAAAGGAGGAUGUCGCGAAGUCGAUUGUUAUGGUUCACGUUCGGGUUCGCGUCCACAUACGUCGCGCUUUACCAAACCGUUUUGAAGGACCUCACGCUUCAGCGUCACGCGUUUACCUCUCACACGGAACGCUAUUUUCGCAUUCUCGAAGCCAGACUCUCCAACAUCGAACAAUCCUCUUCUUCUUCUUCUGUUCCCGCUCCCAAUCAGGUUGAAGGCUAGAUAACUCUAUCAGGUCCAGUGAAAUGAUUUCUACUUGGUUCUAUGGGAUUUAUGCUUGAUUCAAAACGUUUGUUGAGGAAAUGGCCAUUAUAAAACAGACGCCAAGGCAAAGGAUAAAAUUCUUACCUGCUUUUUUUUUUCGCUCCGGAGAAAUUAACCAACUGUGUCUGUGACGAGAAAAUGAAAAGAAUGUAGUGAAGUUCUCUCUGUCAUGUUAUUAAAUGCCAUGCUUUUGUUGUACAGCUCCAAAAGCUUGAAUUUUUAACUCUCUUUUAUAUUAUUAUUAGCAAAUUUUGAUGAAA
Glycine soja is the source of this 582-nucleotide long non-coding RNA. RefSeq lists it as uncharacterized. The transcript is spliced from 2 exons. NCBI's taxonomy places the organism in Eukaryota, Viridiplantae, Streptophyta, Magnoliopsida, Fabales, Fabaceae. The record is from RefSeq and is a predicted model, not a curated record.